AGCGAACGCUGGCGGCAGGCCUAACACAUGCAAGUCGAACGAACCUUUCGGGGUUAGUGGCGGACGGGUGAGUAACACGUGGGAACGUGCCUUUAGGUUCGGAAUAACUCAGGGAAACUUGUGCUAAUACCGAAUGUGCCCUUCGGGGGCAAGAUUUAUCGGCUUUAGAGCGGCCCGCGUCUGAUUAGCUAGUUGGUUGAGGUAAUGGCUCACCAAGGCGACGAUCAGUAGCUGGUCUGAGAGGAUGAUCAGCCACAUUGGGACUGAGACACGGCCCAAACUCCUACGGGAGGCAGCAGUGGGGAAUCUUGCGCAAUGGGCGAAAGCCUGACGCAGCCAUGCCGCGUGAAUGAUGAAGGUCUUAGGAUUGUAAAAUUCUUUCACCGGGGACGAUAAUGACGGUACCCGGAGAAGAAGCCCCGGCUAACUUCGUG
This 434-nucleotide ribosomal RNA is filed under the name uncultured bacterium. RNAcentral's name for it is "partial 16S ribosomal RNA". It matches the Rfam family "Bacterial small subunit ribosomal RNA", at positions 29 to 507 of the family's 1533-position model. The record is from RNAcentral.